GAACGCUGGCGGCGUGCCUAAUACAUGCAAGUAGAACGCUGAAGGAGGAGCUUGCUCUUCUGGAAGAGUUGCGAACGGGUGAGUAACGCGUAGGUAACCUGCCUGGUAGCGGGGGAUAACUAUUGGAAACGAUAGCUAAUACCGCAUAAGAUUGAAUAUCGCAUGAUAAUUGAUUAAAAGAUGCAAAUGCAUCACUACCAGAUGGACCUGCGUUGUAUUAGCUAGUAGGUGAGGUAACGGCUCACCUAGGCGACGAUACAUAGCCGACCUGAGAGGGUGAUCGGCCACACUGGGACUGAGACACGGCCCAGACUCCUACGGGAGGCAGCAGUAGGGAAUCUUCGGCAAUGGGGGCAACCCUGACCGAGCAACGCCGCGUGAGUGAAGAAGGUUUUCGGAUCGUAAAGCUCUGUUGUAAGAGAAGAACGAGUGUGAGAGUGGAAAGUUCACACUGUGACGGUAUCUUACCAGAAAGGGACGGCUAACUACGUGCCAGCAGCCGCGGUAAUACGUAGGUCCCGAGCGUUGUCCGGAUUUAUUGGGCGUAAAGCGAGCGCAGGCGGUUAGAUAAGUCUGAAGUUAAAGGCUGUGGCUUAACCAUAGUACGCUUUGGAAACUGUUUAACUUGAGUGCAGAAGGGGAGAGCGGAAUUCCAUGUGUAGCGGUGAAAUGCGUAGAUAUAUGGAGGAACACCGGUGGCGAAAGCGGCUCUCUGGUCUGUAACUGACGCUGAGGCUCGAAAGCGUGGGGAGCGAACAGGAUUAGAUACCCUGGUAGUCCACGCCGUAAACGAUGAGUGCUAGGUGUUAGGCCCUUUCUCGGGGCUUAGUGCCGUAGCUAACGCAUUAAGCACUCCGCCUGGGGAGUACG
Molecule: ribosomal RNA, 870 nt
Filed under: uncultured Streptococcus sp.
Lineage: Bacteria; Bacillati; Bacillota; Bacilli; Lactobacillales; Streptococcaceae
Description: bacterial SSU rRNA
Rfam family: Bacterial small subunit ribosomal RNA
Source: RNAcentral